UAUACGAAGAGUUUGAUCCUGGCUCAGGAUUAACGCUGGCAGUGUGUAUAAUACAUGCAAGUCGACUGUGAGCUCCGCGCAAGCGGAGUCGAACAGGGCAGACGGGUGAGUAACACGUUGGUACCUGCCCCGAAGUGAGGGAUAACCCCGCGAAAGCGGGGGUAAUACCGCAUGUGCUCGCAAGAGUAAAGUCCGCCUUUGGCGGACGCUUCGGGAGGGGCCUGCGCAAUAUCAGCUAGUUGGUGAGGUAAUGGCUCACCAAGGCUAUGACGUUUAGCUGGUCUGAGAGGAUGAUCAGCCACAAUGGAACUGAGACACGGUCCAUACUCCUACGGGAGGCAGCAGUAAAGAAUCUUCCGCAAUGGGCGAAAGCCUGACGGAGCAACACUGCGUGGAGGAAGACGGCCUUCGGGUUGUAAACUCCUUUUCUGGGGGAAGAAGUUCUGACGGUACCCCAGGAAUAAGCGACGGCUAACUACGUGCCAGCAGCCGCGGUAAUACGUAGGUCGCAAGCGUUAUCCGGAAUUAUUGGGCGUAAAGCGUCCGUAGGCGUCCCGAUCAGUCUGAUGUUAAAUCUGAGGGCUCAACCCUCAGCUCGUAUCGGAAACUAUCGGGAUUGAGGUAUGCAGAGGCAGAUGGAAUUCCAGAAGUAGGGGUAAAAUCCGUAGAUCUC
RNAcentral lists this ribosomal RNA (673 nucleotides) under Candidatus Harrisonbacteria bacterium. RNAcentral describes it as "bacterial SSU rRNA". It matches the Rfam family "Bacterial small subunit ribosomal RNA", at positions 1 to 698 of the family's 1533-position model. The record is from RNAcentral. Lineage: Bacteria; Candidatus Harrisoniibacteriota.